AAUAAUAAUAAACAGUGGUUUCCGUGCCCAAUAUUUAACUGUCUGUCUUAUUUAAAAAAAUUAUGAAAAAAAUUAAAAAGACAAGUUACGCAUAAAAUAUUAAUCAUGUUUUAUCAUCUAACAACAGUGAAAAUACGAAUUAUAAAAAAAAUUCAUAUAAAACGGACAGUCAAAGUUAAACACGGAAAUCAGGGUUUGUCAUUUUU
Non-coding RNA from Oryza barthii, 206 nucleotides. Lineage: Eukaryota; Viridiplantae; Streptophyta; Magnoliopsida; Poales; Poaceae. The record is from Rfam.